Molecule: ribosomal RNA, 253 nt
Filed under: uncultured bacterium
Lineage: Bacteria
Description: partial 16S ribosomal RNA
Rfam family: Bacterial small subunit ribosomal RNA
Source: RNAcentral
UACGUAGGGUGCAAGCGUUGUUCGGAUUCAUUGGGCGUAAAGGGUGCGUAGGCGGCGCGGUAAGUCGGGUGUGAAAUCUCGGGGCUUAACCCGGAAAGGUCAGCCGAUACUGCGGGGCUAGAGUGCAGAAGGGGCAACUGGAAUUCUCGGUGUAGCGGGGAAAUGCGUAGAUAUCGAGAGGAACACCUGCGGCGAAGGCGGGGUGCGGGGCUGACACUGACGCUGAGGCGCGAAAGCUAGGGGAGCGAACGGG